UACGUAGGGUGCAAGCGUUAAUCGGAAUUACUGGGCGUAAAGCGUGCGCAGGCGGUUUUGUAAGUUUGUCGUGAAAGCCCCGGGCUCAACCUGGGAAUGGCGAUGAAGACUGCAAGGCUAGAGUGUGUCAGAGGGGGGUAGAAUUCCACGUGUAGCAGUGAAAUGCGUAGAUAUGUGGAGGAACACCGAUGGCGAAGGCAGCCCCCUGGGAUAACACUGACGCUCAUGCACGAAAGCGUGGGGAGCAAACAGG
Molecule: ribosomal RNA, 253 nt
Filed under: uncultured bacterium
Lineage: Bacteria
Description: partial 16S ribosomal RNA
Rfam family: Bacterial small subunit ribosomal RNA
Source: RNAcentral